GGGUUGUGAGGUUAAGCGACUAAGCGUACACGGUGGAUGCCCUGGCAGUCAGAGGCGAUGAAGGGCGUGCUAAUCUGCGAUAAGCGCCGGUAAGGUGAUAUGAACCGUUAUAACCGGCGAUACCCGAAUGGGGAAACCCAGUGUGAUUCGUCACACUAUCAUUAACUGAAUCCAUAGGUUAAUGAGGCGAACCGGGGGAACUGAAACAUCUAAGUACCCCGAGGAAAAGAAAUCAACCGAGAUUCCCCCAGUAGCGGCGAGCGAACGGGGAGGAGCCCAGAGCCUGAAUCAGCAUGUGUGUUAGUGGAAGCGUCUGGAAAGGCGCGCGAUACAGGGUGACAGCCCCGUACACAAAAGCGCAUGUGCUGUGAGCUCGAUGAGUAGGGCGGGACACGUGGUAUCCUGUCUGAAUAUGGGGGGACCAUCCUCCAAGGCUAAAUACUCCUGACUGACCGAUAGUGAACCAGUACCGUGAGGGAAAGGCGAAAAGAACCCCGGCGAGGGGAGUGAAAAAGAACCUGAAACCGUGUACGUACAAGCAGUGGGAGCGCCCUUUGGGUGUGACUGCGUACCUUUUGUAUAAUGGGUCAGCGACUUAUAUUCUGUAGCAAGGUUAACCGAAUAGGGGAGCCGGAGGGAAACCGAGUCUUAAUUGGGCGUUAAGUUGCAGGGUAUAGACCCGAAACCCGGUGAUCUAGCCAUGGGCAGGUUGAAGGUUGGGUAACACUAACUGGAGGACCGAACCGACUAAUGUUGAAAAAUUAGCGGAUGACCUGUGGCUGGGGGUGAAAGGCCAAUCAAACCGGGAGAUAGCUGGUUCUCCCCGAAAGCUAUUUAGGUAGCGCCUCGUGAAUUCAUCUCCGGGGGUAGAGCACUGUUUCGGCUAGGGGGCCAUCCCGGCUUACCAACCCGAUGCAAACUGCGAAUACCGGAGAAUGUUAUCACGGGAGACACACGGCGGGUGCUAACGUCCGUCGUGAAGAGGGAAACAACCCAGACCGCCAGCUAAGGUCCCAAAGUCAUGGUUAAGUGGGAAACGAUGUGGGAAGGCCCAGACAGCCAGGAUGUUGGCUUAGAAGCAGCCAUCAUUUAAAGAAAGCGUAAUAGCUCACUGGUCGAGUCGGCCUGCGCGGAAGAUGUAACGGGGCUAAACCAUGCACCGAAGCUGCGGCAGCGACACUGUGUGUUGUUGGGUAGGGGAGCGUUCUGUAAGCCUGUGAAGGUGUGUCGUGAGGCAUGCUGGAGGUAUCAGAAGUGCGAAUGCUGACAUAAGUAACGAUAAAGCGGGUGAAAAGCCCGCUCGCCGGAAGACCAAGGGUUCCUGUCCAACGUUAAUCGGGGCAGGGUGAGUCGACCCCUAAGGCGAGGCCGAAAGGCGUAGUCGAUGGGAAACGGGUUAAUAUUCCCGUACUUGGUGUUACUGCGAAGGGGGGACGGAGAAGGCUAUGUUGGCCGGGCGACGGUUGUCCCGGUUUAAGCGUGUAGGUGUGUGUUCCAGGUAAAUCCGGUUCACUUUAACACUGAGGCGUGACGACGAGGCACUACGGUGCUGAAGCAACAAAUGCCCUGCUUCCAGGAAAAGCCUCUAAGCAUCAGGUAACAUCAAAUCGUACCCCAAACCGACACAGGUGGUCAGGUAGAGAAUACCAAGGCGCUUGAGAGAACUCGGGUGAAGGAACUAGGCAAAAUGGUGCCGUAACUUCGGGAGAAGGCACGCUGACACGUAGGUGAAGUGAUUUACUCAUGGAGCUGAAGUCAGUCGAAGAUACCAGCUGGCUGCAACUGUUUAUUAAAAACACAGCACUGUGCAAACACGAAAGUGGACGUAUACGGUGUGACGCCUGCCCGGUGCCGGAAGGUUAAUUGAUGGGGUCAGCGCAAGCGAAGCUCCUGAUCGAAGCCCCGGUAAACGGCGGCCGUAACUAUAACGGUCCUAAGGUAGCGAAAUUCCUUGUCGGGUAAGUUCCGACCUGCACGAAUGGCGUAAUGAUGGCCAGGCUGUCUCCACCCGAGACUCAGUGAAAUUGAACUCGCUGUGAAGAUGCAGUGUACCCGCGGCAAGACGGAAAGACCCCGUGAACCUUUACUAUAGCUUGACACUGAACAUUGAGCCUUGAUGUGUAGGAUAGGUGGGAGGCUUUGAAGUGUGGACGCCAGUCUGCAUGGAGCCGACCUUGAAAUACCACCCUUUAAUGUUUGAUGUUCUAACGUGGACCCGUUACCCGGGUUGCGGACAGUGUCUGGUGGGUAGUUUGACUGGGGCGGUCUCCUCCUAAAGAGUAACGGAGGAGCACGAAGGUUGGCUAAUCCUGGUCGGACAUCAGGAGGUUAGUGCAAUGGCAUAAGCCAGCUUGACUGCGAGCGUGACGGCGCGAGCAGGUGCGAAAGCAGGUCAUAGUGAUCCGGUGGUUCUGAAUGGAAGGGCCAUCGCUCAACGGAUAAAAGGUACUCCGGGGAUAACAGGCUGAUACCGCCCAAGAGUUCAUAUCGACGGCGGUGUUUGGCACCUCGAUGUCGGCUCAUCACAUCCUGGGGCUGAAGUAGGUCCCAAGGGUAUGGCUGUUCGCCAUUUAAAGUGGUACGCGAGCUGGGUUUAGAACGUCGUGAGACAGUUCGGUCCCUAUCUGCCGUGGGCGCUGGAGAACUGAGGGGGGCUGCUCCUAGUACGAGAGGACCGGAGUGGACGCAUCACUGGUGUUCGGGUUGUCAUGCCAAUGGCACUGCCCGGUAGCUAAAUGCGGAAGAGAUAAGUGCUGAAAGCAUCUAAGCACGAAACUUGCCCCGAGAUGAGUUCUCCCUGAGACUUAGAGUCUCCUGAAGGAACGUUGAAGACGACGACGUUGAUAGGCCGGGUGUGUAAGCGCAGCGAUGCGUUGAGCUAACCGGUACUAAUGAACCGUGAGGCUUAACCUUACAACGCCGAAG
RNAcentral lists this ribosomal RNA (2925 nucleotides) under Salmonella enterica subsp. enterica serovar Enteritidis. RNAcentral describes it as "bacterial LSU rRNA". It matches the Rfam family "Bacterial large subunit ribosomal RNA". Lineage: Bacteria; Pseudomonadati; Pseudomonadota; Gammaproteobacteria; Enterobacterales; Enterobacteriaceae. The record is from RNAcentral.